Transfer RNA from Babjeviella inositovora NRRL Y-12698, 72 nucleotides. It matches the Rfam family "tRNA". Rfam says of the family: Transfer RNA (tRNA) molecules are approximately 80 nucleotides in length. The record is from Rfam. Lineage: Eukaryota; Fungi; Ascomycota; Pichiomycetes; Serinales.
GGCCGUGUGGUCUAGUGGUAUGAUACUCGCUUUGGGUGUGAGUGGCCCAGGGUUCAAUUCCCUGCUCGGCCC